UGGCAGUGGCGUGUCUGCAGCAGG
RNAcentral lists this unclassified non-coding RNA (24 nucleotides) under Mus musculus (house mouse). RNAcentral's name for it is "oocyte_clustered_small_RNA12246". The record is from RNAcentral. Lineage: Eukaryota; Metazoa; Chordata; Mammalia; Rodentia; Muridae.